CUAAGAAUAUUCCGCAAUGGACGAAAGUCUGACGGAGCGACGCCGCGUGGAUGACGAAGGCCGAAAGGUUGUAAAAUCCUUUUGCUGGGGAAGAAUAAGCAUGGGAGGGAAUGCCCGUGUGAUGACAUGAACCGGCGAAUAAGCCCCGGCUAACUACGUGCCAGCAGCCGCGGUAACACGUAGGGGGCGAGCGUUGUUCGGAAUUACUGGGCGUAAAGGGCAUGUAGGCGGCCUUGUAAGCCUGGCGUGAAAUUCCACGGCUCAACCGUGGGAAUGCGUCGGGAACUGCGAGGCUUGAGUGACGGAGAGGGAGCUAGAAUUCCUGGUGUAGGGGUGAAAUCUGUAGAUAUCAGGAAGAAUACCAAUGGCGAAGGCAAGCUCCUGGCCGAUGACUGACGCUGAGGUGCGAAAGUGUGGGGAUCAAACA
Molecule: ribosomal RNA, 427 nt
Filed under: uncultured prokaryote
Description: bacterial SSU rRNA
Rfam family: Bacterial small subunit ribosomal RNA
Source: RNAcentral